UACGGAGGAUGCAAGCGUUAUUCGGAAUUACUGGGCGUAAAGCGCGCGUAGGCGGAUUUGCAAGUCGGGGGUGAAAGCCCGAAGCUCAACCUCGGAACUGCCUUCGAUACUGCAAAUCUCGAGUCCGGAAGAGGUGAGUGGAAUUCCUAGUGUAGAGGUGAAAUUCGUAGAUAUUAGGAAGAACACCAGUGGCGAAGGCGGCUCACUGGUCCGGUACUGACGCUGAGGCGCGAAAGCGUGGGGAGCAAACAGG
Molecule: ribosomal RNA, 253 nt
Filed under: uncultured bacterium
Lineage: Bacteria
Description: partial 16S ribosomal RNA
Rfam family: Bacterial small subunit ribosomal RNA
Source: RNAcentral